This 269-nucleotide ribosomal RNA is filed under the name uncultured prokaryote. RNAcentral describes it as "partial 16S ribosomal RNA". It matches the Rfam family "Bacterial small subunit ribosomal RNA", at positions 524 to 792 of the family's 1533-position model. The record is from RNAcentral.
UACGGAGGAUCCGAGCGUUAUCCUGAUUUAUUGGGUUUAAAGGGUGCGCAGGCGGGGGAUUAAGUCGGCGGUGAAAUUUUGCAGCUCAACUGUAAAAGUGCCUUCGAAACUGGUUUCCUUGAGUGUGGAUGAAGUAGGCGGAAUUUGUGGUGUAGCGGUGAAAUGCAUAGAUAUCACGAGGAACUCCGAUUGCGCAGGCAGCUUACUAGGCCAUAACUGACGCUCAGGCACGAAGGCGUGGGGAUCAAACAGGAUUAGAUACCCCUGUA